GUGCACCAGGCGCGAAAACUUCACAAUGUGCGAAAGCACGAUGAGGGAAUCCCAAGUGCUUGCACGUAAGUGUAAGCUGUUUCUCUGUCUAAAACGCAGAGAGAGUAAGGGCUGGGUAAGACGGGUGCCAGCCGCCGCGGUAAUACCUGCAGCUCGAGUGGUGACCGUUAUUAUUGGGCCUAAAACGUCCGUAGCCGGUUUAAUAAAUGCCUGGGUAAAUCGGACCGCUUAACGGUUCGAAUUCCGGGUAGACUGUUAAACUUGAGACCGGGAGAAGUUAGAGGUACUCCUGGGGUAGAGGUGAAAUUCUGUAAUCCUAGGGGGACCACCAGUGGCGAAGGCGUCUAACUAGAACGGGUCUGACGGUGAGGGACGAAGCCCUGGGGCGCAAACGGGAUUAGAUACCCCUGUAG
RNAcentral lists this ribosomal RNA (413 nucleotides) under uncultured microorganism. Its description in RNAcentral is "bacterial SSU rRNA". It matches the Rfam family "Archaeal small subunit ribosomal RNA", at positions 330 to 744 of the family's 1478-position model. The record is from RNAcentral.